Molecule: ribosomal RNA, 916 nt
Filed under: uncultured archaeon
Lineage: Archaea
Description: bacterial SSU rRNA
Rfam family: Archaeal small subunit ribosomal RNA
Source: RNAcentral
UUUCCGGUUGAUCCUGCCGCCGGCCACCGCUAUCAAGUUCCGACUAAGCCAUGCGAGUCAAGGUAUCGUAAGAUGCCGGCAAACUGCUCAGUAACACGUGGAUAAUCUAACCUUGAGUAAGGGAUAACCUCGGGAAACUGAGGAUAAUACCUUAUAAUUGCUUAAAACUGGAAUGUUUAAGCAAUAAAAGUUCCGACGCUCAAGGAUGAGUCUGCGACCUAUCAGGUAGUAGGUGGUGUAAUGGACCACCUAGACUCAGACGGGUACGGGCCCUGGGAGGGGUAGCCCGGAGAUGGACUCUGAGACAUCAGUCCAGGCCCUACGGGGCGCAGCAGGCGCGAACACUGUGCAAUGCGCGAAAGCGCGACACGGGGAGCUUGAGUGUCUUGGCAUAGCCAAGACUUUUCUCAUUCCUAAAAAGCAUGAGGAAUAAGUGCUGGGUAAGACGGGUGCCAGCCGCCGCGGUAACACCCGCAGCACAAGUGGUGGUCACUUUUAUUGAGCCUAAAGCGUUCGUAGCCGGUUUUGUAAAUCUUUAGAUAAAGCCUGAAGCUUAACUCCAGAAAGUCUGAAGAGACUGCAAGACUUGAGAUCGGGUGAGGUUAAACGUACUUUCAGGGUAGGGGUAAAAUCCUGUAAUCCCGGAAGGACGACCAGUGGCGAAAGCGUUUAACUAGAACGAAUCUGACGGUAAGGAACGAAGGCUAGGGUAGCAAACCGGAUUAGAUACCCGGGUAGUCCUAGCUGUAAACAUUGCCCAUUUGAUGUUGCUUUCCCGUUGAGGGAAGGCAGUGUCGGAGCGAAGGUGUUAAAUGGGCCGCUUGGGAAGUAUGGUCGCAAGACUGAAACUUAAAGGAAUUGGCGGGGGAGCACCGCAACGGGAGGAGCGUGCGGUUUAAUUGGAUUCAACGCCGGA